AGUGAACGCUGGCGGUAGGCCUAACACAUGCAAGUCGAACGGCAGCACAGUAAGAGCUUGCUCUUACGGGUGGCGAGUGGCGGACGGGUGAGGAAUACAUCGGAAUCUACUUUUUCGUGGGGGAUAACGUAGGGAAACUUACGCUAAUACCGCAUACGACCUACGGGUGAAAGCAGGGGAUCUUCGGACCUUGCGCGAUUGAAUGAGCCGAUGUCGGAUUAGCUAGUUGGCGGGGUAAAGGCCCACCAAGGCGACGAUCCGUAGCUGGUCUGAGAGGAUGAUCAGCCACACUGAAACUGAGACACGGUCCAGACUCCUACGAGAGGCAGCAGUGGGGAAUAUUGGACAAUGGGCGCAAGCCUGAUCCAGCCAUACCGCGUGGGUGAAGAAGGCCUUCGGGUUGUAAAGCCCUUUUGUUGGGAAAGAAAAGCAGCAGGUUAAUACCCCGCUGUUCUGACGGUACCCAAAGAAUAAGCACCGGCUAACUUCGUG
RNAcentral lists this ribosomal RNA (492 nucleotides) under uncultured bacterium. RNAcentral describes it as "partial 16S ribosomal RNA". It matches the Rfam family "Bacterial small subunit ribosomal RNA", at positions 29 to 507 of the family's 1533-position model. The record is from RNAcentral.